AGAAUUUUAGUUAAUAAAUAUAAUAUUAGUUUGUCAAAUUAAAGUAAUUUAUGUAAAUAAAUUCUU
This 66-nucleotide transfer RNA is filed under the name Polyascus gregaria. RNAcentral's name for it is "tRNA-Asp". The record is from RNAcentral. Lineage: Eukaryota; Metazoa; Arthropoda; Thecostraca; Sacculinidae.